AGAACAUGUUAACAGAAGAGCUACUAAGACAGUGAAAUUGCAACGUAAAACGAUCCCUUCCGGGUCAAACAAUCAUCAGUCAUCACCAUUCAACAAGUGGUUUGAAGGCAAGUCUUUUUGCGUAAGUGCCUUGUACCAGUUGUCAAGUCAGUUUCAGUAGAAAAUGACUCGCCCACGUAAAAUCAAGUUGAGGUCCGUGGAAUUUAAAGGAGCGUUUCCAUCCGAGAUGACAUGAUGAUGAUGAUGAUACUGCCUUGAUGGAAAGAUUUCACCGUCGUCCCAUCCUUCACCCUUCGUCUGUUCAAUCGAGAUUCAGAUUAAUCAGGGCCCGGCCCGAUUCCAAGAUGCUACCAAACUGACCUCUGUUCAGCUUCUUACAAUCGUGGACAUCCCAACAAACCACCCUCAAGGGCCGCCGCUGAACUGCCUCAUCCGGACAUGUGCCUAACCAGACACAGCCUUAAACAGGCAUGUCCUUGUACAGGCACAUUCACAAUCCGCUACGCCUUAUUUCGACACGUUUCCAUCUCAACACGCCCAUCCCGAAACUCCUCAUCUUGACUAGAGUUGUGCAUUGGACCCGACGUUUUCGAUUCUAAUUCCGUUGGUCUUUGAUUUGAUCGGCCGUUUUGUUCUUACUUGGAUGUGGACCUGAAUUUUUUUGAAAUUUUUGCACCUGUCAGGAGAUAAACGAAGAAUUAAAGGCCAUUCUGGAAGCUUAAAAAGAACGAGAAACGCACAAUUCUUUGAGUCUUUGGGGCGUUACAAUUACACAAUUUCGAAAUAUAACGGCAUUAGAGUUCCAUUUUCGAAAAAAGGAACGAAUUACUGUAAUUUUGUUACUUGUAAUUUAGUAACUAAUGCCCUGCCAAAAAGACAGAACCUUAAAAGCUACCAGUCUAAUCAAAUAACACUUAACAUAGUCUGUUGUACUGAUCAGGGUCUUGGGUGUUGUUAUGGAGGAAUGUUCUUAUCAUUCAUUGGCCUUGUAGGCUCUAUAAUACGUUGCAAACAUUUUGCCUUAUCUUUUUAGUCUCAUAUCAUCUUGAACAGUUUCAUGAGUGAACUAGUUGGUAACAGUGAAGACAGUACCUGAAAUAAAGAAAUUAAUAAAGCCAUUGAUUACUUCAGUGGUUCAAUCCUUGGCAUCAGAAGAACAGACCAAAGCAAAUUCAAUUUACAAUUGAAGACACCAAAGAUAACAUUUGUCCAUCACAAGAAGGUCCUAGAAUUUGGUUUUCAAACCAACAUCAAAUCAAAGCCUUUUAUUUUUGUCGCUGAAUUCUACGAGGAUUUUCAAUCAUCUAGUUCAUGUGGCGGAAAGCUGAUUUGGAGCUGGUCCCUUUGCAGUUCGUCAAAAACUCGUAACCAGAUGUUAAAGAGCCGCCUCAAGUCAAACCAAUUGUCCCAUGGGAUGUUAUGGGCCUUCGAAUAAAUGAUCUCAGCAAUGUAAACAUUGAUCCAUAUCUUCCAUGCCGGUAUUGUUUUGUCCAAGUUGAUAUCACAACGAUGGACAGUGCUCAAGUUUGAGAUGGACAAGGCCUUUGGAUCUACUUCAUGGAGACUCUUGCCUUUCAAUGCAAUGCAGAACGAGGUCCUCUCAUUUUCGAACUGCACCCACAGAACAAGUGGAUAAGUGGGGAUGCUUAGGUUUGGAGACUCCCUUUGGAUCACGUGGAACUGUUCUACCGCUUUAAUUGGUCCAUAUUGACGAAUCCAUUUGCCGUGUUUGGCCACGAACUCUUGAACACCAAGCCACUCUGAAUGCUCCAAAACUCGCGUAG
Tigriopus californicus is the source of this 1784-nucleotide long non-coding RNA. RefSeq lists it as uncharacterized. The transcript has 3 exons. The record is from RefSeq and is a predicted model, not a curated record. NCBI's taxonomy places the organism in Eukaryota, Metazoa, Arthropoda, Copepoda, Harpacticoida, Harpacticidae.